Molecule: small nuclear RNA, 106 nt
Organism: Heterocephalus glaber (naked mole-rat)
Lineage: Eukaryota; Metazoa; Chordata; Mammalia; Rodentia; Bathyergidae
Source: Ensembl
GGGCUCGCUUUGGCAGCACAUAUACUACAAUUGAACGAUACAGAGAAGAUUAGCAUGGCCCCUGCGCAAGGAUGACACGCAAAUUUGUGAAGCGUUCCAUAUUUAA